RNAcentral lists this ribosomal RNA (253 nucleotides) under uncultured bacterium. RNAcentral's name for it is "partial 16S ribosomal RNA". It matches the Rfam family "Bacterial small subunit ribosomal RNA", at positions 524 to 776 of the family's 1533-position model. The record is from RNAcentral.
UACGUAGGGUGCAAGCGUUAAUCGGAAUUACUGGGCGUAAAGCGUGCGCAGGCGGCUUUGCAAGACAGAUGUGAAAUCCCCGGGCUUAACCUGGGAACUGCAUUUGUGACUGCAAGGCUGGAGUGCGGCAGAGGGGGAUGGAAUUCCGCGUGUAGCAGUGAAAUGCGUAGAUAUCGAGAGGAACACCUGCGGCGAAGGCGGGUUGCUGGGCCGACACUGACGCUGAUGCGCGAAAGCCAGGGGAGCGAACGGG